UACGCCGUGUGCAUUAUUGUUUUCUGGUGAUCCGGUUAGUUUGGAUGCAUUUCUGCGGAAACGAGAACCAGCCUACUAUCGAACCCGCCGGGAAGUAACCCAACAGGGAAACAAAAAAGUAGAAGAUCAGCAAUCAAAUCUGUCUUGGAAAAGCCGGGUUAUGUAUUGCCCCCAAUAUACGCUUCUGUGCUUCUGUUCCCGGUGCCAAUCACAGCAAACGAAUCGGACAAUUUCUGAAUACUGAUCAAGCAUUUCAUCCUUCUUAAGCCUCUUAAAAUUUUCCUGCUCCCCGCGACGAUGGUAUGCCAGCACCAGGAGAAAAAGUGGCCUACUUCUGUGCGUUGCUGCUGAAGAGCAAAUAGAAUUUUAUAUCUCGAAUGCUAGGAGCCGGGAAGCGAAUCGGCACAGAAUAUGGGAAUCCUGUAUGUUUGGCCACUGGGAGUGAUUAAAUUGCGCUUGGAUUGUAAGUACUAUCUGUAUGAGAUUGCCAACAGAAUUGGUUUCCGUUGUGUUGUAUCACGAUGCAUGAAAAUUGAACCUGCUGGAUAAGUUGUUUCUGAUCGUUGUGAUUAAGUUUCUGGAUGUAUAGACGAGAAACAAGACGCUCGGUUCGUCAAAUCGACAUCACUUACAGGUGCUGACGUUAUUGGGGGACAUCCGGCUGGCUAAAACACGACAAUGAAGUUGAUUCAGUA
Topomyia yanbarensis is the source of this 695-nucleotide long non-coding RNA. RefSeq lists it as uncharacterized. The record is from RefSeq and is a predicted model, not a curated record. The transcript is spliced from 2 exons. Lineage: Eukaryota; Metazoa; Arthropoda; Insecta; Diptera; Culicidae.